AAGUCGUAACAAGGUUUCCGUAGGUGAACCUGCGGAAGGAUCAUUCAUAAAAUGGAGGUGAAAAUUUUAUUUGAUUUUCAGCGGAAUUUUUCUGCUAGAAUUUCAUUUUUCAUCCUCUUGUUGAUUGUUUUUUCAACUAAAAAGGUCGCAAAAUUGAAGGGAAAAAGAGAAAUUUUUUUGGCUGGGUUUGAAACUUUGAAUUUUCGCAAGGAUUUUCUUUUUUUCAGUAAAACCGUUUUGAUUUUCCUGCCGAAAUUUUUUCAAUUUUUGAUCUAAGGCCCUAGGGAGUUUGACCUAUUUGAUCAAUCAAAAAGUUUUAAACAACUUUUAGCAAUGGAUCUCUAGGCUCAU
RNAcentral lists this unclassified non-coding RNA (351 nucleotides) under fungal sp. Its description in RNAcentral is "partial internal transcribed spacer region". The stretch from base 1 to 46 matches the Rfam family "Eukaryotic small subunit ribosomal RNA", at positions 1786 to 1831 of the family's 1831-position model. The record is from RNAcentral. Lineage: Eukaryota; Fungi.